RNAcentral lists this ribosomal RNA (292 nucleotides) under uncultured bacterium. RNAcentral describes it as "partial 16S ribosomal RNA". It matches the Rfam family "Bacterial small subunit ribosomal RNA", at positions 505 to 796 of the family's 1533-position model. The record is from RNAcentral.
GUGCCAGCCGCCGCGGUAAGACAGAGGAGCCAAGCGUUGUCCGGAUUGACUGGGCGUAAAGCGCACGCAGGUGGUUGCGCAAGUGCCGUGUGAAAGCCGGCGGCUUAACUGCCGGAGGCCAUGGCAGACUGCGUCACUCGAGGCCGAGAGAGGUCCGUGGAAUUGCCGGUGUAGUGGUGAAAUGCGUAGAGAUCGGCAGGAACACCCAAGGAGAAAUCAGCGGACUGGCUCGGUACUGACACUGAGGUGCGAAAGCGUGGGGAGCGAACUGGAUUAGAUACCCGGGUAGUCC